GGCACAGUGGCACAGUGGGUAGUGUGUUGCUUCACAGCAGGAUGGUCGUGGGUUUGAAUCCGGCCUGAGGAC
Molecule: non-coding RNA, 72 nt
Organism: Gymnothorax javanicus (giant moray)
Lineage: Eukaryota; Metazoa; Chordata; Actinopteri; Anguilliformes; Muraenidae
Source: the annotation of a GenBank genome assembly